This 486-nucleotide ribosomal RNA is filed under the name uncultured bacterium. RNAcentral describes it as "partial 16S ribosomal RNA". It matches the Rfam family "Bacterial small subunit ribosomal RNA", at positions 29 to 507 of the family's 1533-position model. The record is from RNAcentral.
AUGAACGCUAGCGAUAGGCUUAACACAUGCACGUCGAGGGGCAGCACAAGGUAGCUUGCUAUCUGGGUGGCGACCGGCGCACGGGUGCGUAACGCGUAUGCAACUUGCCCUAUACAGGAGGAUAACCCGUCGAAAGACGGACUAAUACUGCGUAUGCUCACAACUUGGCAUCAAGUGGUGAGGAAAGAAAUUCGGUAUAGGAUAGGCAUGCGUCCCAUUAGCUUGUUGGUGAGGUAACGGCUCACCAAGGCAACGAUGGGUAGGGGAACUGAGAGGUUUAUCCCCCACACUGGUACUGAGACACGGACCAGACUCCUACGGGAGGCAGCAGUGAGGAAUAUUGGUCAAUGGGCGCGAGCCUGAACCAGCCAAGUCGCGUGAAGGAUGACUGUCUUAUGGAUUGUAAACUUCUUUUAUACGGGAAUAACAAGAGUCACGUGUGACUCCCUGCAUGUACCGUAUGAAUAAGCAUCGGCUAACUCCGUG